AACGAACGCUGGCGGCAUGCCUAACACAUGCAAGUCGAACGAGACCUUCGGGUCUAGUGGCGCACGGGUGCGUAACGCGUGGGAAUCUGCCCUUGGGUUCGGAAUAACAGUUGGAAACGACUGCUAAUACCGGAUGAUGACGUAAGUCCAAAGAUUUAUCGCCCAGGGAUGAGCACGCGUAGGAUUAGCUAGUUGGUGGGGUAAAGGCCUACCAAGGCGACGAUCCUUAGCUGGUCUGAGAGGAUGAUCAGCCACACUGGGACUGAGACACGGCCCAGACUCCUACGGGAGGCAGCAGUGGGGAAUAUUGGACAAUGGGCGAAAGCCUGAUCCAGCAAUGCCGCGUGAGUGAUGAAGGCCUUAGGGUUGUAAAGCUCUUUUACCCGGGAUGAUAAUGACAGUACCGGGAGAAUAAGCCCCGGCUAACUCCGUG
RNAcentral lists this ribosomal RNA (433 nucleotides) under uncultured bacterium. Its description in RNAcentral is "partial 16S ribosomal RNA". It matches the Rfam family "Bacterial small subunit ribosomal RNA", at positions 29 to 507 of the family's 1533-position model. The record is from RNAcentral.